UUAUCUCUGUAGAGUCUGCAUAUCAAUAAGCGGAGGAAAAGAAACUAACUAGGAUUCCCUUCAGUAACGGCGAGUGAAGCGGGAAGAGCUCAAAUUUGAAAUCUUCAAGGUUCUACCUUGACGAAUUGUAGUUUAUAAGAAGUGUUUUCUGUUGGUGUUUUGGCUAAAAGUUCUUUGGAAUAGGACAUCAUAGAGGGUGAGAAUCCCGUAUUUGUACCAUUCCUCCUAGCGUUGUGAUACACUUUCAACGAGUCGGAUUGUUUGGGAAUGCAGUCCAAAAUGGGUGGUAAAUUUCAUCUAAAGCUAAAUAUUGGCGAGAGACCGAUAGCGAACAAGUACCGUGAGGGAAAGAUGAAAAGAACUUUGAAAAGAGAGUUAAACAGUACGUGAAAUUGUCAAAAGGGAAGCGUUUGACACCAGUGUUGUUUUCUCGAAAAUCAAUUACGAAUGUUUUGUUUUUGAGGAGUUAUGACUUCAUCGGCUUGCUCCUUUCUUUACGAAGCUUUCUUAAUGCACUUUUCGGUUAACAAGUCAACAUCAAUUUCUUUUGUUGUAAAAGGGUAUGAGGAAGGUGGCUUUCUUUUCGGAGAAAGUGUUUAUAGCCUUGUACCUCUGCAAUCGGAGAGAUUGAGGUCUGCAGCGUAGAUCCUUCGGGGUUAAGAUACAUUUGUGCUAAGCUAUAGCCUUUCAUAGACAACUUGUUGACUAUGAUCAGUCAUGUAGCUUACUCGCUUAUGCUAUUUUACCUACGCUUAGGAUGUUGAUGUGAUACUGCGAGCA
This 780-nucleotide ribosomal RNA is filed under the name uncultured Neocallimastigales. RNAcentral describes it as "partial large subunit ribosomal RNA". It matches the Rfam family "Eukaryotic large subunit ribosomal RNA", at positions 24 to 646 of the family's 3401-position model. Lineage: Eukaryota; Fungi; Neocallimastigomycota; Neocallimastigomycetes; Neocallimastigales. The record is from RNAcentral.